Molecule: ribosomal RNA, 460 nt
Filed under: uncultured bacterium
Lineage: Bacteria
Description: partial 16S ribosomal RNA
Rfam family: Bacterial small subunit ribosomal RNA
Source: RNAcentral
CCUACGGGUGGCAGCAGUGAGGAAUAUUGGUCAAUGGCCGGAAGGCUGAACCAGCUAAGCCGCGUGAGGGAGGAAGGCGCAGAGCGUCGCAGACCUCUUUUGACGGGGGACAAAAGGCCGGACUCGUCCGGUUCGGAGGGUACCCGGAGAAAAAGCAUCGGCGAACUCCGUGCCAGCAGCCGCGGUAAUCCGUAGGAUGCGAGCGUUAUCCGGAUUCAUUGGGUUUAAAGGGAGAGUAGACGGUAGGGCAAGUCUGGAGUGAAAGGCGGGGGCUCAACCCCCGGACUGCUCUGGAAACUGCAAGGCUGGAGUGCAGCAGAGGUAAGUGGAAUUCCUAGUGUAGCAGUGAAAUGCGUAGAUAUUAGGAAGAACACCAAUGGCGAAGGCGGCUUACUGGGCUGUAACUGACGUUGAGGCUCGAAAGCGUGGGGAGCAAACAGGAUUAGAUACCCGAGUAGUC